Molecule: ribosomal RNA, 253 nt
Filed under: uncultured bacterium
Lineage: Bacteria
Description: partial 16S ribosomal RNA
Rfam family: Bacterial small subunit ribosomal RNA
Source: RNAcentral
CACGUAGGAGGCGAGCGUUGUCCGGAAUCAUUGGGCGUAAAGAGCGCGCAGGCGGCUUGGCAAGUCGGGUGUGAAAUCCCGGAGCUCAACCCCGGGACUGCAUUCGAUACUGUCAGGCUAGAGGUAGGUAGGGGAGAUCGGAAUUCCUGGUGUAGCGGUGAAAUGCGCAGAUAUCAGGAAGAACACCAAUGGCGAAGGCAGCUCUCUGGGACGGUACUGACGCUGAGACGCGAAAGCGUGGGGAGCGAACAGG